Molecule: ribosomal RNA, 440 nt
Filed under: uncultured bacterium
Lineage: Bacteria
Description: partial 16S ribosomal RNA
Rfam family: Bacterial small subunit ribosomal RNA
Source: RNAcentral
CCUACGGGUGGCAGCAGUGGGGAAUAUUGCACAAUGGGGGAAACCUUGAUGCAGCGACGCCGCGUGAGUGAAGAAGUAUCUCGGUACGUAAAGCUCUAUCAGCAGGGAAGAAAAUGACGGUACCUGACUAAGAAGCGCCGGCUAACUACGUGCCAGCAGCCGCGGUAUUACGUGGGGGGCACGCGUUAUCCGGAUUUACUGGGUGUAAAGGGAGCGUAGACGGCAGAACAAGUCUGGAGUGAAAUCCCGGGGUUUAACCCCGGAACUGCUUUGGAUACUGUGCGGCUGGAGUGCAGGAGGGGUAAGCGGAAUUCCUAGUGAAGCGGUGAAAUGCGUAGAUAUUAGGAGGAACACCGGUGGCGAAGGCGGCUUACUGGACUGUAACUGACGUUGAGGCUCGAAAGCGUGGGGAGCAAACAGGAUUAGAUACCCUAGUAGUC